UACGUAGGGUGCGAGCGUUGUCCGGAAUUAUUGGGCGUAAAGGGCUCGUAGGCGGUCUGUCACGUCGGGAGUGAAAACUCGGGGCUCAACCCCGAGCCUGCUUCCGAUACGGGCAGACUAGAGGUAUGCAGGGGAGAAUGGAAUUCCUGGUGUAGCGGUGAAAUGCGCAGAUAUCAGGAGGAACACCGGUGGCGAAGGCGGUUCUCUGGGCAUGUCCUGACGCUGAGGAGCGAAAGUGUGGGGAGCGAACAGG
This 253-nucleotide ribosomal RNA is filed under the name uncultured bacterium. RNAcentral describes it as "partial 16S ribosomal RNA". It matches the Rfam family "Bacterial small subunit ribosomal RNA", at positions 524 to 776 of the family's 1533-position model. The record is from RNAcentral.